UCCCUGGUGGUCCAGUGAUUAAGGUUCUGUACUUCUACUGUAAGGCACAGGUUCAAUUCCUGGCCAGGGAA
This 71-nucleotide transfer RNA is filed under the name Capra hircus (goat). It matches the Rfam family "tRNA". Rfam says of the family: Transfer RNA (tRNA) molecules are approximately 80 nucleotides in length. Their secondary structure includes four short double-helical elements and three loops (D, anti-codon, and T loops). The record is from Rfam by way of RNAcentral. Lineage: Eukaryota; Metazoa; Chordata; Mammalia; Artiodactyla; Bovidae. RNAcentral also lists the same sequence under 1 other name.